CAGCACCUCAAGUGGUCAGGAUGAUUAUUGGGCCUAAAGCAUCCGUAGCCGGCUCUGUAAGUUUUCGGUUAAAUCUGUACGCUCAACGUACAGGCUGCCGGGAAUACUGCAGAGCUAGGGAGUGGGAGAGGUAGACGGUACUCGGUAGGAAGGGGUAAAAUCCUUUGAUCUAUUGAUGACCACCUGUGGCGAAGGCGGCCUACCAGAACACGUCCGACGGUGAGGGAUGAAAGCUGGGGGAGCAAACCGGAUUAGAUACCCGAGUAGUCC
Molecule: ribosomal RNA, 270 nt
Filed under: uncultured archaeon
Lineage: Archaea
Description: partial 16S ribosomal RNA
Rfam family: Archaeal small subunit ribosomal RNA
Source: RNAcentral